RNAcentral lists this long non-coding RNA (967 nucleotides) under Androctonus crassicauda. Lineage: Eukaryota; Metazoa; Arthropoda; Arachnida; Scorpiones; Buthidae. The record is from RNAcentral.
CCACUUCUCACUAAACCCCGAUUCUUUCCGGUUUCCGUACAGAUAAACUAGAACAAAAUGGUGAGUUUCAUCUAUCCUAUAUUGAGUAUUGAAUGAUUAGUUAGUCUUAAAAGUUUAGAAAUUAACUUGUUGAUUAUUCCUUUUUUUUUCUUUUUAUUCCAUAGUCGGCAGAUGACUUGAGUGCAGAACAAGUGGAAAGUAUGUAUUUCUAGUGUAUCAAAUUAAUACUAACUCUAUAAAUUCGAUGAAAAAUAUUAUUGUCAAUUAAAUUUUUGCGUUCAAUUGGGAAUGUCUUAAUCACUGAUCGCAUUUUUUUUUUUUUUUUUCACUUUAUUUUACGCCAACUGGAACUAAACUCGAGCGAAUUAAAUAAAACUGCAUUUUAAAUUUAGCUGUUGGAUUUUUUGAAAAGAGAAUGCAUUAGAGAAGUGAAACAAUUAAGUUUUUUUUUUCCUUGAAUAAAUUCAUUUUUAUUUUUUCAUCGAAAAUUUUCUGGUAGAUAAAAUGGAUAAGCGACUGAGAACGGAGUCAAAGAAUCCAAAUUUGUUUUUCCAGAUGUCCGCAUAGAUCGAAUUUUCGGACUAUUGGUAUAAGAGAGAAGAAACGCGGGAUGUUUAAUUUAAGCAUGCCGUUGUGGGGAGCCAAAUUUGGCGAGGACAAGGGAAAGCCGCAUUGCAGUACAGCAACGGAAUCAUGUUACUCGCUGCAUUGUUUGGCCGUGUUUGGCCUAUUUCCCAUCGCAAUGGACGUCUUACCUUUGGUUUUAUCGUGUCGUCUGUUUAUAAUCAACGAAUGUGCGAAUCAUGCGAUCAUGGAAAAAAACGCUUGCCUUCCAGUGACAUCAUUGGAUUUUUGCAUGACUAAUUUAUUGUAAAAAUCCUCAAUUUUUUAAUAAAUUUAAUUUGCGAAAUGGCAUGAUUUCUAUUAAUUUGAUAAGCUUAUAUCCUCAUAUUUCCUUACCUUUCUC